UUUGUACUCCCUCCGUCCAACGAAGAAUGUCUCAACUUUGACUAAAUUAAAUGUAUGUAUACACUAAGUCAUGUCUAGAUACAUCCAAAUUUUGACAAACUUGACACAUCUUUUGUUGGACGGAGGGAGUAGAAA
Brachypodium distachyon (stiff brome) is the source of this 135-nucleotide non-coding RNA. Lineage: Eukaryota; Viridiplantae; Streptophyta; Magnoliopsida; Poales; Poaceae. The record is from Rfam.